UACGAAGGGUGCAAGCGUUACUCGGAAUUACUGGGCGUAAAGCGCGCGUAGGUGGCUUCGUAAGUCCGUUGUGAAAGUCAAAGGCUCAACCUUUGAAAGCCGAUGGAUACUGCGGAGCUAGAGUACGGAAGAGGCGAGUGGAAUUCCUGGUGUAGCGGUGGAAUGCGCAGAUAUCAGGAGGAACACCAAUAGCGAAGGCAGCUCGCUGGGACGUUACUGACACUGAGACGCGAAAGCGUGGGGAGCAAACAGG
RNAcentral lists this ribosomal RNA (253 nucleotides) under uncultured bacterium. Its description in RNAcentral is "partial 16S ribosomal RNA". It matches the Rfam family "Bacterial small subunit ribosomal RNA", at positions 524 to 776 of the family's 1533-position model. The record is from RNAcentral.